CUGAGACAACUAAAAGGCAAGUUACCAUACCAGGGAUAAGUCCUUUCAACAAGAGUCUCUCUGAGUGUUGCUCAUUUGUGUACUCUCUCUGUCCUCCAGAAAACAUUAUAUAGAAGGAAAGUUCUCCAAGAUCAAGAAACACUGUGCUGUGUUUGGUGCAAAAGUAGAACUCAGACCUAUUCCAGAAGCCAGAGAUUGAGCAUCACAUUCAACGCUUCUGAGAUGCAUGCAGUUUCCAUGCUGUUGCUGUUUCUGCUGCCACCCUUACCACAGAGGGAGUCAUACCACUGGUCACAUUUAAAAACUGGAUCAGCUAGGGCUGAGCCUCCUGAUCAGGGGGCUGUCUAUGGCAGCGACAGGGGUUCCUCUGGUUAGGAUGGACGUGGAUUUUCUACUCUUCUCCUUCCCCAUGUCCUGGUGCAAUUCAGCCAAAGGUGUGUCCUUAACAAACUGUGGCCAUAUUUUGGCCUCCAAGCAUGUGCAUAAACAAGUCUUUAAUCUUUGAAGGCUUUUGAGGAUGAUGAAGGAUUACAAACUCUUGUAGUCUGUUUAAUGAUUCAUUAAUGUCCCCAAUUUAUCAAAGAAUUGGUAUUCUAUUUACUUUAAAUGCUGCAUAUUUCUCAACAUAUUUACAUGAUAUUUACACAAUUAUACAUCAAAACUUAUUUAAUUAAAAGUUUCCAAUUGAUUGCAAAUUAAUCUUCUAGAUAGUUAUCAUAUUCUAAUAUUAUAAAUCCAUUAUAUCAGAUUUUCUUAAAGCUUCAGAUACUUUAAAAAACAACCCAAAUAUCACAGUGAUUAUUAAACUAAUUAUUAAACUUAUGUUAAAAACCAUUUAUGAAAGUACUAGUACCCAGACUUAUUUCUUACAUCUGUUUGUAUCCUUAUUCUUUCUUUAAUCUUAAUUUCUCACUUAAGUUCUUUUCCUAGGAUUUCCACCCCCAAAGGAAAAAAAAAUCAGUCAUUUAGAGCAGCCAAGACUGUGGGAUGUGAGCUGUAAAGUCUUGAGCAGGACCAGGAACUGGUACCUUAAAUCCUAGCCUCGGGGGUUCAUGCUGAAGCUGAAGCCCUUUGACAAUUCAGCUUAAUUUUUAGUUGCCUGGAAUUGGUGUAGAUUUUAAUUUUCGGAAGGAAGGUGUCUUUUUCCAGAAAUGAUGGACCCGUAAGGCUUGUACACUGUCUCCCUGACCCUUUGCCCUGUGACUGUGGUUCUUGGGCAUGGUUAGGAUCCCUGCAGGUGUAUCUUUAUGAUUAGCUUGAGGUCAAGUUGAGCCAGUCAGCGUCAUCUUCGGAACAUCUGAUUUCUUUGUAAUCUUGGAACCCACAGUUGACUUCUUUGUAACUGGUUACUGUGAGUGACCAUGCCAGCUGGUCAAUUUUGGGUUUCUUCCCACAAGGCUCUGUCUGUGGCCUCUGGUCCUGGUCAGUGGGUCUUGUUCUUGGAACAGCAACUUACUUUUCCAGCUCUACUUGGCUUAGUCACA
Molecule: long non-coding RNA, 1484 nt
Filed under: Callithrix jacchus (white-tufted-ear marmoset)
Lineage: Eukaryota; Metazoa; Chordata; Mammalia; Primates; Cebidae
Description: lncRNA (ENSCJAG00000077982.1)
Source: RNAcentral